CAGGCUCUCUGAGGGUCAGGUGUGGGAUGAGAAGCAGAGGAGCUCAGGAUGGAGCUGAGGUCUUCCAUCGAAGCUGUUGUGAAGAUGGGGAGCUUGGGGAGAGGCUGGCCAGGAUAUUGGGACUGUGCUGGGUCUGGAGGGCUGAGCUGUAACUGUCCUGGAGCACAUCAGGCUGGCCAGCCCCAUUCAGGGAGAUCAGAGGGAAGAGGACCAGAGCUGUCCCAAGGCUGCAAGGCCACCUACACUUCUCAUCCAGGAGCUGUCCCUGCCAUAGGCUCCAGGUGGGCAGAGUGAGGAGCACCGACCGGGGCUUUCUGGAGUAUCAGGUUUGCUCCUCAGAGAGCAGGAGUUUCAUGCGGCUAGCAGCCAAUCAGAGCUCUGCUGUGUUUAAUUAAGGUAAUUUUCCUACUUGGCUCCAGAUGUGGAGAUGAGAUUCCAUUUUAUUGUUUGGAGAAUGCAUCCUUCCAAGCUUAUGUCACCAGAAUGGAAUGCAGCCACACAUCGAAUGUGACAGGUCUGUGUCUUCUGAGGGAAGAGCCAAGGCUGGGACAAGUCUUGGGCCUUUCUUUCACUCUUGCAGUCUUCUGGUUCCUGGAAGUGGCCUGUGAGGUGAUGGAGCCCAUGGACAAUGUCAUGUGGGAGAGAAGCAGUGGG
This 654-nucleotide long non-coding RNA is filed under the name Fukomys damarensis (Damara mole-rat). Its description in RNAcentral is "lncRNA (ENSFDAG00000026269.1)". The record is from RNAcentral. Lineage: Eukaryota; Metazoa; Chordata; Mammalia; Rodentia; Bathyergidae.